Molecule: transfer RNA, 85 nt
Filed under: Candidatus Onthovivens merdipullorum
Lineage: Bacteria; Bacillati; Bacillota; Bacilli; Caryophanales
Description: tRNA-Leu
Rfam family: tRNA
About the family: Transfer RNA (tRNA) molecules are approximately 80 nucleotides in length. Their secondary structure includes four short double-helical elements and three loops (D, anti-codon, and T loops). Further hydrogen bonds mediate the characteristic L-shaped molecular structure. tRNAs have two regions of fundamental functional importance: the anti-codon, which is responsible for specific mRNA codon recognition, and the 3' end, to which the tRNAs corresponding amino acid is attached (by aminoacyl-tRNA synthetases). tRNAs cope with the degeneracy of the genetic code in two manners: having more than one tRNA (with a specific anti-codon) for a particular amino acid; and 'wobble' base-pairing, i.e. permitting non-standard base-pairing at the 3rd anti-codon position.
Source: RNAcentral
GUAAGCAUGGCGGAACUGGUAGACGCUCUAGUUUCAGAAGCUAGUGAAGAAAUUCGUGUGAGUUCGAGUCUCAUUGCUUACACCA